GUAGUAACGGCGAGUGAAGAGGGAAAAGCCAAAUUUGUAAUCUGGCCUUCAGUCCGAGUUGUAACUCGAGAACUGUUUUCCGUGCUGGACCGCGUACAAGUCUGUUGGAAUAUAGCUUCAUAGAGGGUGAGAAUCCCGUACAUGACGCGGACUACCAGUACAAUGUGAUACAGUCUCUAAGAGUCGAGUUGUUUGGGAAUGCAGCUCAAAAUGGGUGGUAAAUUCCAUCUAAGGCUAAAUAUUGGCGAGAGACCGAUAGCGAACAAGUACCGUGAGGGAAAGAUGAAAAGCACUUUGGAAAGAGAGUUAACAGUACGUGAAAUUGUUGAAAGGGAAACGCUUGAAGUCAGUCUUGUACUUUGUUGUUCAGCCCUCGGGUGUAUUCAACUUUGAACAGGCCAGCAUCAGUUUCAGAUGUCGGAUAAGGGUAGAGGAAACGUAGCAGUCUCGGCUGUGUUAUAGUCCUUUACUUGAUACGACGUUCGGGACUGAGGAACGCAGUGACGCUUUUGGCGGGUCUUCGGAUCUUCUCACUAUGGAUGCUGGCG
Molecule: ribosomal RNA, 548 nt
Filed under: Septobasidium carestianum
Lineage: Eukaryota; Fungi; Basidiomycota; Pucciniomycetes; Septobasidiales; Septobasidiaceae
Description: eukaryotic LSU rRNA
Rfam family: Eukaryotic large subunit ribosomal RNA
Source: RNAcentral